ACCCUCACGCUCAAUUCUCUCAAAUGGAAGGCCACUCUUCUGGGGGGUCUCAGUUGCCAAACUCAUUGGUGGAUGUAAAUAUACUUUUGUUUCAUGUUUUAUGGAAAAAGCAUCUAUCAUGUUGUCUACUAAUUCAUGAGAUUGAGGAUAUAUGCUAUGACUUCUUUCUUUCAUCAAAUCUUGAUUUGUACAUUCUCCCAGCAUUUUAUUCAAACUUGUGAUACGGAAAAGGCAAAGCUCCGAAAGUAUGGGGAUAGCCACAAGAUUUCCACAUAUUAAAAUACGAGAAUAUAACCAUGAAGUGGCACAAGCCUGCAGAAGUUGCUUGCCACAUUCAUCCUUUAAGAACUCUUUGAUAUCAAACGAAUCAACAGAAGUAGUGUUUAGAUUGAAUAAAUUAGAUGUUGCUUCUUCACAUCUUGAUGAAACUAAUUGACUAGGACUAGUAGAGAUGUGACUAGGACUAGUGGAGAUUAGCAUUGGCUGAUACAAAGGUGUCCUAGGGGAUGAAAUCUUCCCAUUUUCAGAUUGCUCAUGUGUUUUUUCUGCAGAUUUCAUCAUGGAGAUCAUAUCAUUGCUCAAUUUUGCCCUCUUCUUAAUAGGAACCAGCUCCAAGUGCAAUUCAUGGCAGUUAUGAACUUUGAGACUAUCAACUUUUCUAUCAUGUACAUCAUUAUCUCCAUUUGCCAGACCAGUUAGAAAUUGACUUUGUAUAGGGUAAAUAAAUACAAACCUUCCGGAAUCAGGACAUCCCAUUGUGUAAUAAAGGUUUGAAGACAACCGCACUUCAUCCCUCAAAGCCUUAUUGGAAGGAAAAACCAUAGCCAAAGCAAAGUAGUUUCCUAACUCAUUAGCUGUUUGAUCCACAGAUUCAAAC
RNAcentral lists this unclassified non-coding RNA (877 nucleotides) under Hevea brasiliensis (rubber tree). The record is from RNAcentral. Lineage: Eukaryota; Viridiplantae; Streptophyta; Magnoliopsida; Malpighiales; Euphorbiaceae.